GUAUAAGGCAAAACAGAAGACCACAGAGCAUCCUGUGAAGCUAUAACACUAUUGAAAAACAACACUAUCAAGAAAAAUAACAAGUCAGAAAAAUGAAAAUGCAGUUUUGGCAUCUCUGGGUUUUACAGAAACACCUUCCUCUAUCCCUCAGGUGAACCUGUUGGUAAUCUUAGGGCAUAUCAUGAGCACAGACAGAGAAAUACUAAUGGAAGCACAUUAUGCAUUCUAAUAUAUCCAGAAUUUCGGGCAAUUCACAGUGAUAAGAUGACCUGAAAAACUGAGAAGAUAUGGAAUGGAAAAGAGGUCGCUGAUAUUACUGCCAAUUGUCAAAUUUUGGUUUCCUGUUGUUGAUUUUCAUGCAUGAGAAACACACUGCCGCUGGACUGGUGCCAGAGCUCCAUCAAUCUCUCUAGGCUUUUUCAACCUCAGGAUAUGUAAGAGUAGCAGAUAAAUUGGAAGAUCAAUGCCUUGUCCCUCCUGCUGUGCCAGCUGCUAUUGAGAAAUUAAUAUGAGGAUCACUAUAAAUAAAAGAUAAAAGAUGAUAUGGCUUACA
RNAcentral lists this long non-coding RNA (553 nucleotides) under Anas platyrhynchos platyrhynchos (common mallard). Its description in RNAcentral is "lncRNA (ENSAPLG00000027319.1)". The record is from RNAcentral. Lineage: Eukaryota; Metazoa; Chordata; Aves; Anseriformes; Anatidae.